CCUGUCAAACGCGUGCAUUUCACUUAUCAACAUAAAUGUGGUUGUGACUUUUUAGGGGUGUAAUUAUUUCAAUUUUUAACAGUUUAGGGGGGUGAUAGGACCCCCGUGAAAUUCAAGUGUGUAGUUGGAAAUUCGAGUAUAGAUUAGGGGGACAUUUGACCAUUUUCUCGUGUACACACUACCCUGCCCAGACCACACUUGUGGGAUUACAUCGGGUAUGUUGUUGACUUUCAUAAGCUAAUUUUUACGACAAUUUUUUUCUUGAAAAACAAGCUAAGUUUAGGGCGAAAAUUACCGAAGGAAAAUGAAGAUAAUUACUAGAAUACAUGUGUAGAGAAAGUGUUUCUGGGAACGUGGCUGAUGGAGAAAGUGGUGGCUACAAGAGAGGAGGAGAAAAAAGAGAGAAGAAUAGGAAAAAAGGAGAACUAAAGGAGAAAAAAGAGAUAUUUUUGUGCUAAAUAUUGUAUGCUUCGAUCUCUAUUGCUUCGAAAGAAAUUUUGGCCAAUUAGCCAUUGCUGAAUUUAUCUUUUCAACUGUUCAGUUCAAUUCCUCUUAAUUUGAAAAUGAUAUAGUUUUACAAUAGUUUCCUAAUUAUCUCCUUUUUCUCCUACUUUAUGCUUGCCAUCUGCAGGAAGCAAUUCACUUUGCUUGGAAUUUUUCACUACCGGAAAGAAAGCCCUCUUUAGUACAUUCACUAUUAGCUGACAUUUGCUCUAUUUUGGGGAUUCUCUAUUUUUUUCCUUGGUUUUUGCUUGUUCAAGAUGUGACAUGUCUUCUUUGAGACUUCACAUUGACUGAUGAGCUUAGCGGGAGCAAUAUUUUUUUUAUUUGGAUGAGAGAUGGAAGAGGAGUAUAGUGAGAAUGCCCCAUUCUCUGUUGAGGAUUUGAUGCACAACGAUCCUUUGCUUGCACGGUUGCAGCAGUGUCACAAGAGGGUAUUUUGCACCGAGAUAUUAUGGGAUUUGCUUUGUUGAUUGACAAAUAUGGGAUGCUAAAAAUCACUGAUUCUAGGUUCGCAAAUUACUUCAAUCCUGUAAAAGAGCAUCCUCUGUCAAGUCAAGUUGUCACAUUUUGGUAAAGACCUUCAGAACUUCUACUAAGUGCUAUAGAUUAUGGAAUACAUAUUGAUCUUUGAAGUGCAGGUCGCCUCAUGGCUGAAAUGUUUGUAGGCUAGCCAAUUCUGCUUGGUCGUACUAAAGCUUUGACAUUUUCUUUCCAUUUAGUAAACUUAAUUUUGUCUGCAAUGAUAUAUAGAUCAUUGAUAUUUGAAGUCCCUAAUAGUGUAAAAUACUCAUCCAUGAAUUUGGCUUACAUUGCAGGAAAAGCUAGAUGGACUAUGACUGGAGUUCCGGGUGUGGUAAAGGAAAAGGCAAUAAAAAUAUUCAUUAGUGAGAGGUGUUAUGUCCCUUUUCAAUUCGGAGGACAGAUGAGAAUGCGCUUAGUGAAGUUCAAGAAGUGCUUUAUCAUGUACAUCAUAAGAAUCUAUAUGAUCAAGACCAAAGUGCUGCAGAAAUGCUCCAACAGUGACAUUCUAUGGACUGCUUCAAUUGGAUGGUGCCUCAUCACAGUCCAUACGUAUGGACAAUUUUAGACAAAUAAUUACUUUAGAUUGAAAGAGACUUUCCAUUAAACCAUAGAGAUAUUUAGUUUCUAUACUCAAGUUUGCAUAUGACAAAUUCCUUUGUGUAUGCUGUUAAAAAUAACUAUGUAAAAAUAAUUAUGUUGAGACCGUGCUCAGCACGG
Solanum tuberosum (potato) is the source of this 1743-nucleotide long non-coding RNA. RefSeq lists it as uncharacterized. The transcript has 3 exons. The record is from RefSeq and is a predicted model, not a curated record. NCBI's taxonomy places the organism in Eukaryota, Viridiplantae, Streptophyta, Magnoliopsida, Solanales, Solanaceae.